ACUGUAAUGCAAGUUAUAUAAAUGUGGUCUCUCUCUCUCUGAGUAUCUGACUGCACUGUCCUCACCCUUCUUGUGAUGAUGUGAGAUGAUACAAUGCUGACGCAAUGAGAGGAAGUGACGUGAAUGACCCAGGCACUGUGAUGUAGCAAUAGGCUGCUACUGACUUCCUGAUGGGUUGAUCAAGAGGAGGGGCAUUGGCUUCCAGCCUCCACACCUCAGGCGACCGUGGAUAAAUGAAACCGAGUUAUUUAAGGAUAGAUUUCCUGAGUGUGGGGCAAAGACCUGGUCCGUGUGGGAGGGAGACACUGUCACGUCUGUCCCUCCUCACCUACGCUCACCUGGAGCUGUACUUCUUGAGGAUGGUAUCCAAGAGGGCAACGAGCUCUUCCGCGUUGAUGAACUUCUGCGGGCUGAGGGUGUACAUUUUCUCGUAGAAGUCCGCGAUCUCCAUCCGGGCCUGAACGAAGAAGCAGAGCUGCUCCGACAGGUGGGAGAGCAGUUCCUCCACGUGAGGAGCGGUCCCACCCAGCGCCCCGCGGCCUGUCACCACCUUCUUCAGCUCGUUGUGCAGGGAAGUGUAGAUGGUGCGGAUGGAAUCCUUCCUGCUGAAGAAGGACUGGCCCCCUGGGAAAGGAGAGGAAAAGAAAGCAGAAAACAUUGGAAAAAUAUACGAGUUCUUCCCUGUGAAGAUCUGCAGAAACACAAGAAAAGCAAUUCCAUGUAAAAAAUGGUAAGAAACAGCAGUUGAAGAAUAUCAAUGAUCAUCGACAGCAGGUAACUGUGAAAACAGCCUGGAAGCAACCCAGAUUCAGAGUUGAUGCACCACGUUCCGAGCCUGAGGCCUGCGCUCUCUUUGAAAAGAAAGGGCAGAUGAGCAUGUCUCAGAGAGCUGCCGCUCUGGGCACCAAGCCCAGAGGCUCUCCCUAAUGAGACUGCACUAGUUGGAAAAGCAAUCAUGUUGCACUGUGGAAUUCAGAGUAAUUUCCUGCCGUGUCAGAGUACCACGUGCGUUCAUCUCUUGUCACUGACCUGUGGACGUUCAACACUGGAGGAAGAGCUGCCUUUGCUGAAGAGAGGAAUACCUUCCCCCUUAAAGCUUUGCCUAAUUCCAGCACAGAUGGGGGACCCUCUCCUGUAGCACUUUUCCCACACCUGGUAUAUAUCACACUGAUCCUAUUUUGUCCCCUUGUCAUGAUUUGUGUACUUGUCCUGGGCACUUUUCAUGGACUAGCUCAUACAGCUGGGAAUUACUGUUCAUGGGUUCAGGCCCCACGUUGGGCUCUGUGCUGGCAGUGUGGAACCUGCUUAGGAUUCUGUGUCUGUGUC
This is a long non-coding RNA of Suricata suricatta (meerkat), 1326 nucleotides long. RefSeq lists it as uncharacterized. Lineage: Eukaryota; Metazoa; Chordata; Mammalia; Carnivora; Herpestidae. The record is from RefSeq and is a predicted model, not a curated record. The transcript is spliced from 5 exons.